AGAGACCGUAACUUAUAGUAAAGAGGAUGAGUAUAAACUUGAAAUGCUCUAAACAGGAACCUGUCACAAAGAAAUUGACGUCUGAGGUGCAGGGGGGCUUCAGAACAUUCCACCUGCAAAGCGUUAAUAGGGCUCGACCGCAUAGCUCCCGCAAUUAUUCUCAGAGCCUUAGACUGGAUAAUGUCUAACUUAUGGAGAGCUACUGCAUUACAGGGUUCAAGUAUAAAUGUUCCAUAGUCUAAAAUGCUUCUUAUUAGAGCAUUAUAUAGAAGCUUUAGAGAGAAAGGAUUGGCUCCCCACCAAACUCCAGAGAGACAACGCAGUAUGUUUAUAAUCUUCUCACAUUUGGCACUUAUAUAGUAGCAAUGAGGGCUUCCUGUAAGUCUUGAGUCUAAAAUUACCCCAAGAAAUGUUGCUUCACUUUUAGUGGGAAUUCUAAUGUUAUUAUAAAAUACAGAUACUGCUGGAGGAAGUCUCAUACGUGAGAAUAAGACUAUAAUACUUUUAGGAACCGAAAGGCUUAAAGUGUUAUUGUCAAGCCAGACUUUUAAUAACUUAAGGGAAGGUGUCAUAGUAUCAGACAUGUUGUCUACAGAAUCACCAGACACAUAGAGGAGUAAAUCAUCUGCAUAUUGGAGUGUGUUAACUUUACCCUUAAGGGAGGCUUCCAGAUCAUGAGAAUAUAUAUUGUAAAGUAAAGGACUUAAAACUGAGCCCUGAGGUAAACCUUUCCAGGCAAUACGGGAUUGAAUUGAAAGGUUGACAUUAUCAUAGGCUGCCGACACAUCUAAGAAUGCCGCUAACACAGACUUAUUGUAAGAAAAUGCCAAUCUUAAGUCUGUCAUAAAAAUACUGAGACUAUCCAUUGUACUCCUGCCUUUCCUAAAUCCAAACUGGUUUGGUGAUAGUAACCCCUUACUCUCAAUAAACCAUUCUAGUCUAGUUUUAAUUAAAUGUUCAGAAAUUUUGGACAUAACUGGAGCUAAUGCAAUUGGUCUGUAUGAUGAUGGAUCAUUAAUCGGUUUGUUGGGCUUGUGUAUUGGGAUAACUUCAUGGAUUUUCCAUGAUGGAGGAAUAUUACCUGAUGUUAAGAUUGAAUUAAUUAAAU
Long non-coding RNA from Leptidea sinapis, 1108 nucleotides. RefSeq lists it as uncharacterized. NCBI's taxonomy places the organism in Eukaryota, Metazoa, Arthropoda, Insecta, Lepidoptera, Pieridae. The record is from RefSeq and is a predicted model, not a curated record. The transcript is spliced from 2 exons.